This 308-nucleotide ribosomal RNA is filed under the name uncultured eukaryote. RNAcentral's name for it is "SSU rRNA". It matches the Rfam family "Eukaryotic small subunit ribosomal RNA", at positions 587 to 899 of the family's 1831-position model. The record is from RNAcentral.
AGCUCCAAUAGCGUAUAUUAAAGUUGUUGCGGUUAAAAAGCUCGUAGUUGGAUUUCUGUUGAAGAAAACCGGUCCGUACCAUGUAUGUGUAUCUGGCUUUUCUUCGGCAUCCUCUCGAGGUACGUUACUGCGCUUGAUUGCGUGGGGCGGAAUUCGGGACUUUUACUUUGAGGAAAUUAGAGUGUUCACGGCAGGCAAUCGCCCUGAAUAUAUUAGCAUGGAAUAAUGAUAUAGGAUCUUGAUUCUAUUUUGUUGGUUUCAGGAAUUAAGGUAAUGAUUAAUAGGGACAAUUGGGGGCAUUCGUAUCA